Molecule: ribosomal RNA, 520 nt
Filed under: uncultured bacterium
Lineage: Bacteria
Description: bacterial SSU rRNA
Rfam family: Bacterial small subunit ribosomal RNA
Source: RNAcentral
ACGAGUGGCGCACGGGUGCGUAACGCGUAUACAAUCUGCCUUUUACAAAGGGAUAGCCCAUGGAAACGUGGAUUAAUACCUUAUAACAUCAUUUUAUGGCAUCAUAGAGUGAUCAAAGAUUUAUCGGUAAAAGAGGAGUAUGCGUGACAUUAGCUAGUUGGUGAGGUAACGGCUCACCAAGGCUACGAUGUCUAGGGGUUCUGAGAGGAUGAUCCCCCACACUGGCACUGAGACACGGACCAGACUCCUACGGGAGGCAGCAGUGAGGAAUAUUGCGCAAUGGAGGAAACUCUGACGCAGCCAUGCCGCGUGAAGGAAUGAAUGCCCUACGGGUUGUAAACUUCUUUUAUAUGGGAAGAAACUUUUCUACGUGUAGAGAACUGACGGUACCAUACGAAUAAGCACCGGCUAACUCCGUGCCAGCAGCCGCGGUAAUACGGAGGGUGCAAGCGUUAUCCGGAUUCAUUGGGUUUAAAGGGUACGUAGGCGGAUAGAUAAGUUAGUGGUGAAAUCCCGAAGC